Molecule: ribosomal RNA, 449 nt
Filed under: uncultured bacterium
Lineage: Bacteria
Description: partial 16S ribosomal RNA
Rfam family: Bacterial small subunit ribosomal RNA
Source: RNAcentral
AGCGAACGCUGGCGGCAGGCCUAACACAUGCAAGUCGAACGAACUCUUCGGAGUUAGUGGCGGACGGGUGAGUAACACGUGGGAACGUGCCUUUAGGUUCGGAAUAACUCAGGGAAACUUGUGCUAAUACCGAAUGUGCCCUGCGGGGGAAUGAUUUAUCGCCUUUAGAGCGGCCCGCGUCUGAUUAGCUAGUUGGUGAGGUAACGGCUCACCAAGGCGACGAUCAGUAGCUGGUCUGAGAGGAUGGCCAGCCACACUGGGACUGAGACACGGCCCAGACUCCUACGGGAGGCAGCAGUGGGGAAUCUUGCGCAAUGGGCGAAAGCCUGACGCAGCCAUGCCGCGUGAAUGAUGAAGGUCUUAGGAUUGUAAAAUUCUUUCACCGGGGACGAUAAUGACGGUACCCGGAGAAGAAGCCCCGGCUAACUUCGUGCCAGCCGCCGCGGUAA